RNAcentral lists this transfer RNA (74 nucleotides) under Caudoviricetes sp. RNAcentral describes it as "tRNA-Leu". It matches the Rfam family "tRNA". From Rfam's summary of the family: Transfer RNA (tRNA) molecules are approximately 80 nucleotides in length. Their secondary structure includes four short double-helical elements and three loops (D, anti-codon, and T loops). Further hydrogen bonds mediate the characteristic L-shaped molecular structure. tRNAs have two regions of fundamental functional importance: the anti-codon, which is responsible for specific mRNA codon recognition, and the 3' end, to which the tRNAs corresponding amino acid is attached (by aminoacyl-tRNA synthetases). tRNAs cope with the degeneracy of the genetic code in two manners: having more than one tRNA (with a specific anti-codon) for a particular amino acid; and 'wobble' base-pairing, i.e. permitting non-standard base-pairing at the 3rd anti-codon position. Lineage: Duplodnaviria; Heunggongvirae; Uroviricota; Caudoviricetes. The record is from RNAcentral.
AGCUGGAGGGUGCGGAAAGGGAGCACGCCGGUCUUAAUAGCCGGAGGACACAGGUUCGAAUCCUGUUCCAGCAA